RNAcentral lists this ribosomal RNA (246 nucleotides) under uncultured bacterium. RNAcentral's name for it is "partial small subunit ribosomal RNA". It matches the Rfam family "Bacterial small subunit ribosomal RNA", at positions 26 to 285 of the family's 1533-position model. The record is from RNAcentral.
AGAAUCAACGCUGGCGGCGUGCCUAACACAUGCAAGUCGCACGAGAAAGGGGAGCAAUCCCUGAGUACAGUGGCGCACGGGUGAGUAACACGUGAAUAAUCUACCUCCGAGUGGGGAAGUAACUGAGAGAAAUCUUAGCUAAUACCGCAUAACACUUACGAGUCAAAGCAGCAAUGCGCUUGGAGAGGAGUUCGCGGCCGAUUAGUUAGUUGGCGGGGUAAUGGCCCACCAAGACGAUGAUCGGUA